CACUCAUGUCUUCAUAAUCAUUUCACUUCUAUGUCAAGCUCCCCUCUGCUUGGCACCAGAGGCAAAGUGUCAAUCAGACGAGCAGAUCCCCAUCCAGUCACUGUGUGGCUUUGUCUGGAGUCCCGGUUCCCAUGGCAGGGCUGCCUGUGGUGGAGGACCAAGACGGGACUGGACCCCCAUGGACCCUGCUGCAGGGAUGCUCCUGUAUCUCUCUGCCCCAGCUGAGAUACCAGAUACCAGGCCUGGCUCUUCCUCAGCUCCUACCAACCUCCCGGGGCAGAGAAAACACUUUAUACUUCUUUGACAGGCAAGAAACAAAGAAUAAAACAGAAGUGUCUGCUUCUGAGAGAGACUCUGGGAGACCCUCGGAGAUGUGCAGCGUUACAGUGGCCCUGUGCAACAUGCAAAGGUGGACCCCAGCCCCGCCCCGGUCCCUGGGGUAUUGUAUUAAAGGGCAGUCAGCAGGGACACUGGUCCCCUCAUGUGAGGGCCGCAGACAGGCUCCUUUGGGCAGCCUGGUAGACAGUAGACAUGAGACUGGAGUGGGGAGUUGGGAGGGAGGAACACGGCAGCAGGAAGACUCAGCCGUGGAGGUCAUGGAGGGUGAUGAGGCAAGGACUCUGGAUCCCCAUGGAAGAUGCUGGGCCUGGAAACAGGUUCCAUGUGAGUGUGAAGAGCUCCAUAUGUACAAUGAAAAUCCAGUCUUUACUUUUCUACGUGAAAUCAAAUUUAGCUAAAGGUUCAUUGGCUUGGCUAACAGGAUGGCCCAGUCAGUCGCUUUUAGGAGACUGUCUCCAGGUGAAAGCAUUGUCCCUCCAGGUACCAAAAUGUCCCACAUGGAAUCUGUGAGUAAAGGAGGCAGAUGGUUUUGGGUAAGUUGGUAGGUAUAAUUUUAACCAUCACCACUACCACCCCUUGGGUCCCUAGCCAAGUGUAUUCUGGGAGUAUCCCUAAGGGAGAACCAGCAACGCUGGGGAGAGCAUAUGCUGCAUCCCUGCACGGUGCUUCUCCAGCUGGCGUAGGAUUGGCUGCCAACAGACCAUCCCUCCCUUCUCCUGAGCUGCCUGCUUCUGGUGUUGGGAUACCUAAUAAGGUCAGGGAGUCUCAUGCGUGUAAGCCCACGGCCUGGGUUUUCUCUGUAAAGUGGGCUCCGUGGUCAGAAGACAUGUCGUGGGGGAGAACAUAAGCUGUCCAGCAAGUCCGUAGAGAGAGUGGUGGCGACAGCAUGACGACAGCAGGGGAGCCACAUCCAAAUCCGGAGCAAGUACUUGUUACAAAGGCAACGGUCACCCUUUCCCUGAUGCAGAAGUUCCAGGGCCAUCAGCCCGCCACCUGGCAGUGGGCUCCAUGCCCAGAGUCCCUCACUGCACUAAACAUCCCUGCCAGUCACCCUGUCCAUCAGGUUACAAUCCUAGGAGUUCUCAUUUCAUUUAGUCCUUACCACUGUUCAUAUGUCCUAUUUUAAGGAUAAAAAAAUGGAGGAACAGAGAGACUGAGUAACUUGCUUGAGGUCACACAGCUAGGAAGGGGUGAAGCCAACAUUGGAAGCAGGCACUCUGGGUCCAGAGUAUAGUUCUUAAUGUCCACCUUUGGUCUCAUGGUACAUCAAGUAUGUUUGGGGCUGGCUCCCACCCCCAUGCCCCUUGUGUGUGUAGAGAGAGGGGGCAUUUGGCACUCACUCCCCAGGGCCACAGCUAAUUAUCCUGGGGAGGGUACCUGACAGGGCAGGCCUGAAACCUGCAAUCUGGUGGCCUGGUGGGAAAAGUGAAUUGCGCUGACCUAGUUUCUCUCCUGGAGAAGGCUCUGGCACCCCACUCCAGUACUCUUGCCUGGAAACUCCCAUGGACGGAGGAGCCUGGUAGGCUGCAGUCCAUGGGGUCGCUAAGAGUUGGAUACGACUGAGCGACUUCACUUUCACUUUUCACUUUCAUGCAUUGAAGAAGGAAAUGACAACCCACUCCAGUGUUCUUGCCUGGAGAAUCCCAGGGACGGGGGAGCCUGGUGGGCUGCCGUCUAUGGGGUCGCACAGAGUCGGACACGACUGAAGCGAUGCAGCAGCAGCAGCAGCAGCAGCAGCAGCAGUUUCUCUCCUGGGAAUUUGAAACAGGGAAUGGGGCGUUGAUUUUGGAAGCUGAGGGGGCCCUCCUCCUUGCCCCUCCUGAGACUGUCCCUGGGCCCCAUGGUCUGGGGCCUGUCCUUAAUCUCCCUUUCCUGAGGUAACUUAGACUCUGUCCUUGAUACCCAAAUGAUUCAGCUCAGUAAUUUACUUUCUUUUAAGAAUUUAUUCAGAUCAGUUGAAAAGUGAAUAAAAAUACCUCAGUAAUGCUAGGUGAGCAUUGACCUUCUAGUUUUUCCCCUUUUCAAUUAAACAAUAUGCAGAGGGGCUUCCCUGGUGGCCCAGUGGCUAAGAAUCUGCCUUGCAACAUAG
This is a long non-coding RNA of Bos taurus (domestic cattle), 2428 nucleotides long. NCBI's taxonomy places the organism in Eukaryota, Metazoa, Chordata, Mammalia, Artiodactyla, Bovidae. The record is from Ensembl.